AGAGUUUGAUCCUGGCUCAGAUUGAACGCUGGCGGCAGGCUUAACACAUGCAAGUCGAGCGGAGAGAGGUAGCUUGCUACUGAUCUUAGCGGCGGACGGGUGAGUAAUGCUUAGGAAUCUGCCUAUUAGUGGGGGACAACAUUUCGAAAGGAAUGCUAAUACCGCAUACGUCCUACGGGAGAAAGCAGGGGAUCUUCGGACCUUGCGCUAAUAGAUGAGCCUAAGUCGGAUUAGCUAGUUGGUGGGGUAAAGGCCUACCAAGGCGACGAUCUGUAGCGGGUCUGAGAGGAUGAUCCGCCACACUGGGACUGAGACACGGCCCAGACUCCUACGGGAGGCAACAGUGGGGAAUAUUGGACAAUGGGCGGAAGCCUGAUCCAGCCAUGCCGCGUGUGUGAAGAAGGCCUUAUGGUUGUAAAGCACUUUAAGCGAGGAGGAGGCUACUUUAGUUAAUACCUAGAGAUAGUGGACGUUACUCGCAGAAUAAGCACCGGCUAACUCUGUGCCAGCAGCCGCGGUAAUACAGAGGGUGCAAGCGUUAAUCGGAUUUACUGGGCGUAAAGCGCGCGUAGGCGGCUAAUUAAGUCAAAUGUGAAAUCCCCGAGCUUAACUUGGGAAUUGCAUUCGAUACUGGUUAGCUAGAGUGUGGGAGAGGA
This 656-nucleotide ribosomal RNA is filed under the name uncultured bacterium. RNAcentral's name for it is "bacterial SSU rRNA". It matches the Rfam family "Bacterial small subunit ribosomal RNA", at positions 8 to 658 of the family's 1533-position model. The record is from RNAcentral.